RNAcentral lists this ribosomal RNA (274 nucleotides) under uncultured bacterium. RNAcentral's name for it is "partial 16S ribosomal RNA". It matches the Rfam family "Archaeal small subunit ribosomal RNA", at positions 473 to 747 of the family's 1478-position model. The record is from RNAcentral.
AAACCAGCACCUCAAGUGGUCAGGAUGAUUAUUGGGCCUAAAGCAUCCGUAGCCGGCUCUGUAAGUUUUCGGUUAAAUCUGUACGCUUAACGUACAGGCUGCUGGGAAUACUGCAGAGCUAGGGAGUGGGAGAGGUAGACGGUACUCGGGAGGAAGUGGUAAAAUGCUUUGAUCUCUCGAUGACCACCUGUGGCGAAGGCGGUCUACCAGAACACGUCCGACGGUGAGGGAUGAAAGCUGGGGGAGCAAACCGGAUUAGAAACCCUAGUAGUCC